This 18-nucleotide ribosomal RNA is filed under the name Russula mairei. RNAcentral describes it as "partial 25S large subunit ribosomal RNA". RNAcentral also lists the same sequence under 2 other names. The record is from RNAcentral. Lineage: Eukaryota; Fungi; Basidiomycota; Agaricomycetes; Russulales; Russulaceae.
CCUUGACCUCAAAUCGGG